UUUCCGUAGGUGAACCUGCGGAAGGAUCAUUAAUGAGAUGUCAUGGGGUUCGAUGCUGGCAGCCAGUUUUUGGACGCAUGUGCUUGCCCUAACAAUCAUCUUCUUCCAAACACCUGUGCACAUUUUUGAGGGAGUCUUGAGUUGGUUGCCGCUCUUGGGUGAUUUUCUCACAUUCCCUUAAAUCAUUAUACGCUAUUAACAAUGUUGAACGUGCUCUGUGCCGCAAGGCCAUUAAUAUAAUACAACUUUUAACAACGGAUCUCUUGGCUCUC
This 272-nucleotide unclassified non-coding RNA is filed under the name plant metagenome. RNAcentral describes it as "partial contains small subunit ribosomal RNA, internal transcribed spacer 1, and 5.8S ribosomal RNA". The record is from RNAcentral.